UACGUAGGGGGCAAGCGUUGUCCGGAUUUAUUGGGCGUAAAGCGCGUGUAGGCGGCCAGGUAGGUCCGCUGUGAAAACCCGAGGCUCAACCUCGGGACGUCGGCGGAAACCAUCUGGCUAGAGUCCGGAAGAGGAGAGUGGAAUUCCCGGUGUAGCGGUGAAAUGCGCAGAUAUCGGGAAGAACACCCGUGGCGAAGGCGGCAUCCUGGACCGGCAUUGACGCUGAGGCGCGAAAGCUAGGGGAGCAAACGGG
This 253-nucleotide ribosomal RNA is filed under the name uncultured bacterium. Its description in RNAcentral is "partial 16S ribosomal RNA". It matches the Rfam family "Bacterial small subunit ribosomal RNA", at positions 524 to 776 of the family's 1533-position model. The record is from RNAcentral.